RNAcentral lists this ribosomal RNA (1370 nucleotides) under uncultured beta proteobacterium. RNAcentral describes it as "bacterial SSU rRNA". It matches the Rfam family "Bacterial small subunit ribosomal RNA", at positions 29 to 1397 of the family's 1533-position model. The record is from RNAcentral. Lineage: Bacteria; Pseudomonadati; Pseudomonadota; Betaproteobacteria.
UUGAACGCUGGCGGCAUGCCUUACACAUGCAAGUCGAACGGCAGCACGGGUGCUUGCACCUGGUGGCGAGUGGCGAACGGGUGAGUAAUACAUCGGAACAUGUCCUGUAGUGGGGGAUAGCCCGGCGAAAGCCGGAUUAAUACCGCAUACGAUCUACGGAUGAAAGCGGGGGACCUUCGGGCCUCGCGCUAUAGGGUUGGCCGAUGGCUGAUUAGCUAGUUGGUGGGGUAAAGGCCUACCAAGGCGACGAUCAGUAGCUGGUCUGAGAGGACGACCAGCCACACUGGGACUGAGACACGGCCCAGACUCCUACGGGAGGCAGCAGUGGGGAAUUUUGGACAAUGGGCGAAAGCCUGAUCCAGCAAUGCCGCGUGUGUGAAGAAGGCCUUCGGGUUGUAAAGCACUUUUGUCCGGAAAGAAAUCCUUGGCUCUAAUACAGUCGGGGGAUGACGGUACCGGAAGAAUAAGCACCGGCUAACUACGUGCCAGCAGCCGCGGUAAUACGUAGGGUGCGAGCGUUAAUCGGAAUUACUGGGCGUAAAGCGUGCGCAGACGGUUUGCUAAGACCGAUGUGAAAUCCCCGGGCUCAACCUGGGAACUGCAUUGGUGACUGGCAGGCUAGAGUAUGGCAGAGGGGGGUAGAAUUCCACGUGUAGCAGUGAAAUGCGUAGAGAUGUGGAGGAAUACCGAUGGCGAAGGCAGCCCCCUGGGCCAAUACUGACGCUCAUGCACGAAAGCGUGGGGAGCAAACAGGAUUAGAUACCCUGGUAGUCCACGCCCUAAACGAUGUCAACUAGUUGUUGGGGAUUCAUUUCCUUAGUAACGUAGCUAACGCGUGAAGUUGACCGCCUGGGGAGUACGGUCGCAAGAUUAAAACUCAAAGGAAUUGACGGGGACCCGCACAAGCGGUGGAUGAUGUGGAUUAAUUCGAUGCAACGCGAAAAACCUUACCUACCCUUGACAUGGUCGGAAUCCCGCUGAGAGGUGGGAGUGCUCGAAAGAGAACCGGCGCACAGGUGCUGCAUGGCUGUCGUCAGCUCGUGUCGUGAGAUGUUGGGUUAAGUCCCGCAACGAGCGCAACCCUUGUCCUUAGUUGCUACGCAAGAGCACUCUAAGGAGACUGCCGGUGACAAACCGGAGGAAGGUGGGGAUGACGUCAAGUCCUCAUGGCCCUUAUGGGUAGGGCUUCACACGUCAUACAAUGGUCGGAACAGAGGGUUGCCAACCCGCGAGGGGGAGCUAAUCCCAGAAAACCGAUCGUAGUCCGGAUUGCACUCUGCAACUCGAGUGCAUGAAGCUGGAAUCGCUAGUAAUCGCGGAUCACGCAUGCCGCGGUGAAUACGUUCCCGGGUCUUGUACUCACCGCCCGU